RNAcentral lists this ribosomal RNA (1000 nucleotides) under Vibrio fluvialis. RNAcentral's name for it is "bacterial SSU rRNA". It matches the Rfam family "Bacterial small subunit ribosomal RNA", at positions 393 to 1398 of the family's 1533-position model. Lineage: Bacteria; Pseudomonadati; Pseudomonadota; Gammaproteobacteria; Vibrionales; Vibrionaceae. The record is from RNAcentral.
CAUGCGCGUGUAUGAGAGCUCGGGUGUAAGUACUUCAGCAGUGAGGAGGAGGUAUCGUAUAGCGGUAUCUUUGACGUCAGCUGCAGAGAAGCACCGGCUAACUCCGUGCCAGCAGCCGCGGUAAUACGGAGGGUGCGAGCGUUAAUCGGAAUUACUGGGCGUAAAGCGCAUGCAGGUGGUUUGUUAAGUCAGAUGUGAAAGCCCGGGGCUCAACCUCGGAAUUGCAUUUGAAACUGGCAGGCUAGAGUACUGUAGAGGGGGGUAGAAUUUCAGGUGUAGCGGUGAAAUGCGUAGAGAUCUGAAGGAAUACCGGUGGCGAAGGCGGCCCCCCGGACAGAUACUGACACUCAGAUGCGAAAGCGUGGGGAGCAAACAGGAUUAGAUACCCUGGUAGUCCACGCCGUAAACGAUGUCUACUUGGAGGUUGUGGCCCUGAGCCGUGGCUUUCGGAGCUAACGCGUUAAGUAGACCGCCUGGGGAGUACGGUCGCAAGAUUAAAACUCAAAUGAAUUGACGGGGGCCCGCACAAGCGGUGGAGCAUGUGGUUUAAUUCGAUGCAACGCGAAGAACCUUACCUACUCUUGACAUCCAGAGAACUUAGCAGAGAUGCUUUGGUGCCUUCGGGAACUCUGAGACAGGUGCUGCAUGGCUGUCGUCAGCUCGUGUUGUGAAAUGUUGGGUUAAGUCCCGCAACGAGCGCAACCCUUAUCCUUGUUUGCCAGCGAGUAAUGUCGGGAACUCCAGGGAGACUGCCGGUGAUAAACCGGAGGAAGGUGGGGACGACGUCAAGUCAUCAUGGCCCUUACGAGUAGGGCUACACACGUGCUACAAUGGCGCAUACAGAGGGCGGCCAACUUGCGAAAGUGAGCGAAUCCCAAAAAGUGCGUCGUAGUCCGGAUUGGAGUCUGCAACUCGACUCCAUGAAGUCGGAAUCGCUAGUAAUCGUGAAUCAGAAUGUCACGGUGAAUACGUUCCCGGGCCUUGUACUACUACGCAGGCU